AUUGAACGCUGGCGGCAGGCCUAACACAUGCAAGUCGAGCGGAUGAAGGUAGCUUGCUCCUGGAUUCAGCGGCGGACGGGUGAGUAAUGCCUAGGAAUCUGCCUGGUAGUGGGGGAUAACGUCCGGAAACGGGCGCUAAUACCGCAUCAGUCCUGAGGGAGAAAGUGGGGGAGCUUCGGACCUCACGCUAUCAGAUGAUCCUAGGUCGGAUUAGCUAGUUGGUGGGGGAAAGGCCUACCAAGGCGACGAUCCGUAACUGGUCUGAGAGGAUGAUCAGUCACACUGGAACUGGAAGACGGUCCAGACUCCUACGGGAGGCCGCAGUGGGGAACAUUGGAAGAUGGGAGAAAGCCUGAUCCAGCCAUGCCGCGUGUGUGAAGAAGGUCUUGCGAUGGUAAAGUACUUUACGUUGGGAGGAAGGGCAGUAAGUUAAUACCUUGCUGUUUUGACGUUACCAACAGAAUAAGCACCGGCUAACUUCGUG
RNAcentral lists this ribosomal RNA (484 nucleotides) under uncultured bacterium. Its description in RNAcentral is "partial 16S ribosomal RNA". It matches the Rfam family "Bacterial small subunit ribosomal RNA", at positions 30 to 507 of the family's 1533-position model. The record is from RNAcentral.